This 1073-nucleotide long non-coding RNA is filed under the name Homo sapiens (human). RNAcentral's name for it is "HSALNT0349099". Lineage: Eukaryota; Metazoa; Chordata; Mammalia; Primates; Hominidae. The record is from RNAcentral.
UUCUUUUUCUGCAUCCGCUGCUCUGUUAAGUGAUCACCACAUUCAUUGUUCUCGUUUCUAUUAUUUCUGAAAAAAAUCUUCAGGAUUCUGCUUGUGGGAGUGGAUGACAUUUUUACAGUGUUUACAGGCUGAAAAUUUUUCGAGCUUUUAUGCUCUGCUUCCGUUAUAAGGAGGAGGCCUCACAAUCCUGGUGGAAGGCAAGGAGGAGCAAGUCACAUCUUAUGUGGAUGGCAGCAGGCAAAGAAAGCUUAUGCAGCUUUAUCUAUUCCAGAAUGUCAUAUAGCUGGUAUAAGAAAGAACACUAAUCAUUCCUAAGGAAGAAAAUUAACAACGCCGUGAGUUAUAAUAUCUGGCUGAAACUGAAGGAGCUCUGUGUAAUUAAAAGUCCUUUCUGCCCUGCCUGGCCAUGGUUCUGUAUGCAUUGAUGUCUUACAAACUGAAAAAAAAAAAAGUUAUUUUCUCAUCUCCAUUCCCUAGCAUAGACAUAUUACAUGAUGUGGAAUUGAAACAAGAAAAUUGCAUUUUAAUCUUCCACUCAGAACAUAGAAGAAUGAAACAAACAAACAAAAAAUACUCUGUUGUCUUAGUCUACCACAAGCAAAAUCUGGCAGUCUCUUUGCUUUGGUAAUGGCAUAAAUUCCUUGAUUAGCCUAUAGGAUAGCCCAUUGUUCUGCUCUUUUAGUGGAAUAGCUAGCAAUUGCUUUGUCAUUUUUUCCCCAUGGUUCCUACCAUUAGUGUUGGGAGGUUUCUUCUUUGUUUUUUUGAGAAAGAGGAAAAAGUUGUUAUAUUUUCAUAAAAACUUAAAUUUCAUCCAAAAUACUUGAUUUUCAUGAAGAAAGUAAAUAUCUCUGCCCCUAGUAUACAUGUGUGGAAACUUUCAGAACCCUGAAGAUAAAUACAUUUCAAACAAGUGAGUUUGAAAAUAUCAAUAGCAAAAUAGGAAGUAAGCUAAUUAGAGAGGUAAGAACUAGAUGGCUUAGCAUUCCAAUAAUAAUAUAUAACCUUCUUUAAGAGUAAAAUCUUGGUCAAAAGACAGAUGAAAACUCCAAUAAAAUUUCACAACUCAUGGAAAA